AGCUCAGGGGUAGAGCGCAACCUUGCCAAGGUUGAUGUCGAGGGUUCAAAUCCCUUC
RNAcentral lists this transfer RNA (57 nucleotides) under Alphaproteobacteria bacterium. RNAcentral's name for it is "tRNA-Gly". It matches the Rfam family "tRNA", at positions 9 to 63 of the family's 71-position model. From Rfam's summary of the family: Transfer RNA (tRNA) molecules are approximately 80 nucleotides in length. The record is from RNAcentral. Lineage: Bacteria; Pseudomonadati; Pseudomonadota; Alphaproteobacteria.